UAGUUUGUGAAAUAAAAUUAAUUGAGAAGGAAAAAACGAAGAUUGUGACAUUCACUGUUCUUUGCCUUUAACCUUCAUAUAGUCUAGUAGAUCCUUGCCACACAUCUGAAAUUAGUAUUUUCAAUUUGGCGACCUUACUGGUGCGUAGCUUUGCAUACAAGAGGUCCCAGAUUCGAUUCCCAAUCGGGUCUAUUUAAAAACAAAUUUUUCGGAAUUAGAUCGAGUCGGAAUAUUCUGUAUAUUGUGUUGUGCCCCCAGGUGUUCUCUGGCUGGUUUUCCAUAACACCUGUAUCGGUAUUCUAAUUUGAAGAUCCAAGUGAAGAGAAGAAUUCCAAGUGAAGCAACCCCGCCUUCGCUAACGGUAUACGCUGACGAAGCUCCAGUAAGAAUGAAAAGGCAGGUUUCGCAAGAGGAGAAUAAGAGACCUUAUUGGUCGAGGGAAGAGAAGCAGCAUCCUUCUUUAAAUAUUACCAAACCCUAACUACUUUCUAACCCGCCUUCUAAUUGUGGCAACUACUGGCAAAACCUUUAAAUAAGAGGAGUCUAUUUUCAGCAGUGGACAAUUAACGGCCGACAUGAUGAUGAUGAUGGCUGAAAAUUACCAUGACCUUGUUUUCUUAAAACAUAAUUGUAUGAUGGUUAGUAGUACAGCAUUACAUUGUCUUUUGAAUGGUUGACGGAAAUUUCGAUGAACUCAUAGACUCAUUAUAAAAUAAUCACGCAGAUGAGAUCAA
This is a long non-coding RNA of Galleria mellonella (greater wax moth), 734 nucleotides long. RefSeq lists it as uncharacterized. NCBI's taxonomy places the organism in Eukaryota, Metazoa, Arthropoda, Insecta, Lepidoptera, Pyralidae. The record is from RefSeq and is a predicted model, not a curated record. The transcript has 3 exons.